RNAcentral lists this ribosomal RNA (443 nucleotides) under uncultured bacterium. RNAcentral describes it as "partial 16S ribosomal RNA". It matches the Rfam family "Bacterial small subunit ribosomal RNA", at positions 338 to 795 of the family's 1533-position model. The record is from RNAcentral.
CCUACGGGUGGCAGCAGUGGGGAAUAUUGGGCAAUGGGCGCAAGCCUGACCCAGCAACGCCGCGUGAAGGAAGAAGGCUUUCGGGUUGUAAACUUCUUUUCUCAGGGACGAAGCAAGUGACGGUACCUCAGGAAUAAGCCACGGCUAACUUCGCGCCAGCAGCCGCGGUAAUACGGAGGUGGCAAGAGUUAUCCGGAUUUACUGGGUGUAAAGGGCGUGUCGGCGGGACUGCAAGUCGGAUGUGAAAAGCACGGGCUCAACCUGGGGCCUGCAUUUGAAACUGUAGGUCUUGAGUACUGGAGAGGCAGACGGAAUUCCUAGUGUAGCGGUGAAAUGCGUAGAUAUUGGGAGGAACACCAGUGGCGAAGGCGGUCUGCUGGACAGCAACUGACGCUGAGGCGCGAAAGCGUGGGGAGCAAACAGGAUUAGAUACCCGAGUAGUC